CAGUCGCCACGGUAAUGCGAAGGGUGCAAGCGUUAAUCGGAAUUACUGGGCGUAAAGCGUGCGUAGGCGGUGAGUUAAGUCUGCUGUGAAAUCCCCGGGCUCAACCUGGGAAUGGCAGUGGAUACUGGCUCGCUAGAGUGUGUCAGAGGAUGGUGGAAUUCCCGGUGCAGCGGUGAAAUGCGUAGAGAUCGGGAGGAACACCGAUGGCGAAGGCAAUCCCCUGGACCUGUACUGACGCUCAUGCACGAAAGCGUGGGGAGCAAACAGGAUUAGAUACCCCAGUAGUCCCUGUCUCUUAUAC
RNAcentral lists this ribosomal RNA (301 nucleotides) under uncultured bacterium. RNAcentral describes it as "partial 16S ribosomal RNA". It matches the Rfam family "Bacterial small subunit ribosomal RNA", at positions 509 to 807 of the family's 1533-position model. The record is from RNAcentral.